GACGAAGGGGGCUAGCGUUGUUCGGAAUUACUGGGCGUAAAGGGCUCGUAGGCGGCCAACUAAGUCGGAUGUGAAAUCCCCAGGCUUAACCUGGGAACUGCAUCCGAUACUGGAUGGCUUGAAUCCGGGAGAGGGAUGCAGAAUUCCAGGUGUAGCGGUGAAAUGCGUAGAUAUCUGGAGGAAUACCGGUGGCGAAGGCGGCAUCCUGGACCGGCAUUGACGCUGAGGAGCGAAAGCUAGGGGAGCAAACGGG
RNAcentral lists this ribosomal RNA (253 nucleotides) under uncultured bacterium. RNAcentral's name for it is "partial 16S ribosomal RNA". It matches the Rfam family "Bacterial small subunit ribosomal RNA", at positions 524 to 776 of the family's 1533-position model. The record is from RNAcentral.